CCCCUCACUCACAUACGAUCCAAUCUUAUUUCUUAUGCAUAGCAAGACAAAUUUGUCCUCGUCCUGACUUUAUCCCUGUCUCGGCCAUCUAGGUAUGAAUUUGUUUUUAAGUAUAAAUAACUUAACUAAACAAGAAGGAAUAGUUACAUAUAAGUAAGUUUAAUUGUUAAAGUAAACUAAAUAGGUACCAUCUCUAACCAUUUCAGCCCUUAUUCCAGAAUUAAGGAACCCAAAAAAGAUCUUUCAAAAUACAGCUGGGAACUAACCACUCAAUAGAUCAUCUCCAAUAAAUUUUGCGCCUUCCUUCCUGAGAUGGAAAAGAAGAGGCUAUUUUGAGCUGAGACAUUCAUAUCACCAUUACUCGAAGGAAAUAGUAAUUAAGCAGCAUAAUACCUUAUUAAAAAUAUAAAUGCAACACCAAAGAAAUGUCUUUCUUUUUAUAGGAUUUCAAGACGAGAAAUG
RNAcentral lists this long non-coding RNA (462 nucleotides) under Nicotiana tabacum (common tobacco). RNAcentral's name for it is "long non-coding RNA (NTAB_LNC004914)". The record is from RNAcentral. Lineage: Eukaryota; Viridiplantae; Streptophyta; Magnoliopsida; Solanales; Solanaceae.